AGAGUUUGAUCCUGGCUCAGGACGAACGCUGGCGGCGUGCCUAAUACAUGCAAGUCGAGCGGACAGAUGGGAGCUUGCUCCCUGAUGUUAGCGGCGGACGGGUGAGUAACACGUGGGUAACCUGCCUGUAAGACUGGGAUAACUCCGGGAAACCGGGGCUAAUACCGGAUGGUUGUUUGAAUCGCAUGGUUCAAACAUAAAAGGUGGCUUCGGCUACCACUUACAGAUGGACCCGCGGCGCAUUAGCUAGUUGGUGAGGUAACGGCUCACCAAGGCGACGAUGCGUAGCCGACCUGAGAGGGUGAUCGGCCACACUGGGACUGAGACACGGCCCAGACUCCUACGGGAGGCAGCAGUAGGGAAUCUUCCGCAAUGGACGAAAGUCUGACGGAGCAACGCCGCGUGAGUGAUGAAGGUUUUCGGAUCGUAAAGCUCUGUUGUUAGGGAAGAACAAGUACCGUUCGAAUAGGGCGGUACCUUGACGGUACCUAACCAGAAAGCCACGGCUAACUACGUGCCAGCAGCCGCGGUAAUACGUAGGUGGCAAGCGUUGUCCGGAAUUAUUGGGCGUAAAGGGCUCGCAGGCGGU
RNAcentral lists this ribosomal RNA (589 nucleotides) under uncultured Bacillus sp. RNAcentral's name for it is "bacterial SSU rRNA". It matches the Rfam family "Bacterial small subunit ribosomal RNA", at positions 8 to 579 of the family's 1533-position model. The record is from RNAcentral. Lineage: Bacteria; Bacillati; Bacillota; Bacilli; Caryophanales; Bacillaceae.